AUUGAACGCUGGCGGCAUGCCUUACACAUGCAAGUCGAACGGUAACAGGUUAAGCUGACGAGUGGCGAACGGGUGAGUAAUACAUCGGAACGUGCCCAGUAGUGGGGGAUAGCCCGGCGAAAGCCGGAUUAAUACCGCAUACGACCUAAGGGUGAAAGGGGGGGAUCGCAAGACCUCUCGCUAUUGGAGCGGCCGAUGUCAGAUUAGCUAGUUGGUGGGGUAAAAGCUCACCAAGGCGACGAUCUGUAGCUGGUCUGAGAGGACGACCAGCCACACUGGGAGUGAGACACGGCCCCGACGCCUACGGGAGGCAGCAGUGGGGAAUUUUGGACAAUGGGCGCAAGCCUGAUCCAGCCAUGCCGCGUGCGGGAAGAAGGCCUUCGGGUUGUAAACCGCUUUUGUCAGGGAAGAAAUCCUUUGGGUUAAUACCUCGGGGGGAUGACGGUACCUGAAGAAUAAGCACCGGCUAACUACGUG
This 477-nucleotide ribosomal RNA is filed under the name uncultured bacterium. Its description in RNAcentral is "partial 16S ribosomal RNA". It matches the Rfam family "Bacterial small subunit ribosomal RNA", at positions 30 to 507 of the family's 1533-position model. The record is from RNAcentral.